RNAcentral lists this ribosomal RNA (526 nucleotides) under uncultured bacterium. Its description in RNAcentral is "bacterial SSU rRNA". It matches the Rfam family "Bacterial small subunit ribosomal RNA", at positions 501 to 1032 of the family's 1533-position model. The record is from RNAcentral.
CUACGUGCCAGCAGCCGCGGUAAUACGGAAGGUCCAGGCGUUAUCCGGAUUUAUUGGGUUUAAAGGGAGUGUAGGCGGUUUGUUAAGCGUGUUGUGAAAUUUAGAUGCUCAACAUUUAACUUGCAGCGCGAACUGUCAGACUUGAGUACACGCAACGUAUGCGGAAUUCAUGGUGUAGCGGUGAAAUGCUUAGAUAUCAUGAAGAACUCCGAUUGCGAAGGCAGCAUACGGGAGUGUAACUGACGCUUAAGCUCGAAGGUGCGGGUAUCGAACAGGAUUAGAUACCCUGGUAGUCCGCACAGUAAACGAUGGAUGCCCGCUGUUAGCGCCUGGCGUUAGCGGCUAAGCGAAAGCAUUAAGCAUCCCACCUGGGGAGUACGCCGGCAACGGUGAAACUCAAAGGAAUUGACGGGGGCCCGCACAAGCGGAGGAACAUGUGGUUUAAUUCGAUGAUACGCGAGGAACCUUACCCGGGCUUGACAUCCCUCUGACCGCUCUAGAGAUAGAGUUUUCUUCGGGACAGAGG